RNAcentral lists this ribosomal RNA (251 nucleotides) under uncultured prokaryote. RNAcentral describes it as "partial 16S ribosomal RNA". It matches the Rfam family "Bacterial small subunit ribosomal RNA", at positions 525 to 775 of the family's 1533-position model. The record is from RNAcentral.
ACGUAGGUGUCGAGCGUUGUCCGGAUUUAUUGGGCGUAAAGAGCCCGCAGGCGGCUUGCCAAGUUCGAGGUGAAAUCUCCCGGCUCAACCGGGAGGGUGCCUCGAAAACUGGCAGGCUUGAGGCAGGGAGAGGGAUGUGGAAUUCCCGGUGUAGUGGUGAAAUGCGUAGAGAUCCGGAGGAACACCAGAGGCGAAGGCGACACCCUGGGCCGUACCUGACGCUAAGACGCGACAGCACGGGGAGCGAACGG